Gopherus flavomarginatus (Mexican gopher tortoise) is the source of this 173-nucleotide long non-coding RNA. RefSeq lists it as uncharacterized. The transcript is spliced from 3 exons. The record is from RefSeq and is a predicted model, not a curated record. NCBI's taxonomy places the organism in Eukaryota, Metazoa, Chordata, Testudines, Testudinidae.
GGAAGAAGUGAGCGGGAGGAGAGGGAUGGGGAAGAGGCGAGCGGGAGCAGGAAGGAACGGGAGGAGAGGGAUGGGGAAGAAGCGAGCAGGAGAAGGAAGCGAGCGGGAGGAGGAGAGGGAGAAGAAGUGAGCGGGAGGAGAGGGAUGGGGAAGAAGCGAGCAGGAGAAGGAAG